UGCAAUGAUGGUGUAAUUUGCGUCUGACCCAGUGAACAGUGACAGUUGCCUGCUGUCAUAUGCUGUCACAGGGUUUUGAUGAGAUUUAAUUCUGAGCA
Molecule: small nucleolar RNA, 98 nt
Organism: Sphaeramia orbicularis (orbiculate cardinalfish)
Lineage: Eukaryota; Metazoa; Chordata; Actinopteri; Kurtiformes; Apogonidae
Gene: SNORD16
Rfam family: Small nucleolar RNA SNORD16
About the family: U16 is a member of the C/D class of snoRNA which contain the C (UGAUGA) and D (CUGA) box motifs. U81 acts as a guanine methylation guide and is found in an intron of ribosomal proteins L1 gene in animals. This snoRNA was independently named MBII-98 in mouse.
Source: Ensembl